GACGAACGCUGGCGGCGUGCUUAACACAUGCAAGUCGUACGGUAAGGCCCUUUCGGGGGUACACGAGUGGCGAACGGGUGAGUAACACGUGAGUAACCUGCCCACAACUUUGGGAUAACGCUAGGAAACUGGUGCUAAUACUGGAUAUGUGCUCCUGCUGCAUGGUGGGGGUUGGAAAGCUCCGGCGGUUGUGGAUGGACUCGCGGCCUAUCAGCUUGUUGGUGGGGUAGUGGCUUACCAAGGCUUUGACGGGUAGCCGGCCUGAGAGGGUGACCGGCCACAUUGGGACUGAGAUACGGCCCAGACUCCUACGGGAGGCAGCAGUGGGGGAUAUUGCACAAUGGGCGGAAGCCUGAUGCAGCAACGCCGCGUGCGGGAUGACGGCCUUCGGGUUGUAAACCGCUUUCGCCUGUGACGAAGCGUGAGUGACGGUAAUGGGUAAAGAAGCACCGGCUAACUACGUG
Molecule: ribosomal RNA, 464 nt
Filed under: uncultured bacterium
Lineage: Bacteria
Description: partial 16S ribosomal RNA
Rfam family: Bacterial small subunit ribosomal RNA
Source: RNAcentral